UACGUAGGGUGCGAGCGUUUGUCCGGAAUUACUGGGCGUAAAGAGCUCGUAGGUGGUUUGUCGCGUUGUCCGUGAAAACUCACAACUCAAUUGUGGGCGUGCGGGCGAUACGGGCAGACUGGAGUACUGCAGGGGAGACUGGAAUUCCUGGUGUAGCGGUGAAAUGCGCAGAUAUCAGGAGGAACACCAGUGGCGAAGGCGAGUCCCUGGACAACACAUCGAUGCACUGAGGCACGAAAGCUAGGGGAGCAAACAGG
This 257-nucleotide ribosomal RNA is filed under the name uncultured bacterium. Its description in RNAcentral is "partial 16S ribosomal RNA". It matches the Rfam family "Bacterial small subunit ribosomal RNA", at positions 524 to 776 of the family's 1533-position model. The record is from RNAcentral.